AAAGUCGUAACAAGGUUUCCGUAGGUGAACCUGCGGAAGGAUCAUUAACAGACUCUGCUAGUCAGAUUUCUACCCUGUGUGAAUUGUUCUAACGACUUGGUGUUCAUGCUGGUGAGAGGGUUUGAGUUGGGGGUCUUGGUGGUAUUUGUGAGGGUUUUGUUACCCUCUAUGGUUACUCCAAUACCCUCUGUUGAGGCUUCUGUUAGGCUUCUAUCGAGGCCUUAUCGAGGCCUUAUCAGACCCUCUAUAGAACCCUCUUACGAGGAUUCUAAUGAGGCUCUUAUGAGACUACUAGCUAAGCACCCUAUUACCCAUCUACCCUUCUAACUGAGACAGACCCUACGUAAAGACUAGAAAACUUUUAGCAACGGAUCUCUAGGCUCUU
RNAcentral lists this unclassified non-coding RNA (385 nucleotides) under Basidiomycota sp. Its description in RNAcentral is "partial contains small subunit ribosomal RNA, internal transcribed spacer 1, and 5.8S ribosomal RNA". The stretch from base 1 to 47 matches the Rfam family "Eukaryotic small subunit ribosomal RNA", at positions 1785 to 1831 of the family's 1831-position model. Lineage: Eukaryota; Fungi; Basidiomycota. The record is from RNAcentral.